Molecule: ribosomal RNA, 393 nt
Filed under: uncultured bacterium
Lineage: Bacteria
Description: partial 16S ribosomal RNA
Rfam family: Bacterial small subunit ribosomal RNA
Source: RNAcentral
AUACGGAGGAUGCAAGCGUUAUCCGGAUUUAUUGGGUUUAAAGGGUGCGUAGGCGGUUUGCUAAGCGGGAGGUGAAAUGCCGGCGCUCAACGUCGGAAGUGCCUCCCGAACUGGUGGACUUGAAUGACUCUGCCGUGGGAGGAAUGUGUAGUGUAGCGGUGAAAUGCUUAGAGAUUACACAAAACACCGAUUGCGAAGGCAUCUCACGAAGGGUUGAUUGACGCUGAGGCACGAAAGCGUGGGGAUCAAACAGGAUUAGAUACCCUGGUAGUCCACGCAGUAAACGAUGAUGGCUAACCGCUGGGCUUAUCAGUUCAGUGGCCAAGCGAAAGCGAUAAGCCAUCCACCUGGGGAGUACGACCGCAAGGUUGAAACUCAAAUGAAUUGACGGGG